UACGUAGGGGCCUAGCGUUGUCCGGAAUUAUUGGGCGUAAAGAGCUCGUAGGUGGUUCGGCAAGUCGGAUGUGAAUCUCCACGCUUAACGUGGAGGGGCCAUUCGAAACUGCUGUGACUUGAGUCCGGUAGGGAGUGUCGGAAUCCGGUGUAGCGGUGAAAUGCGCAGAUAUCGGGAGGAACACCAGUAGCGAAGGCGGCACUCUGGGCCGGUC
RNAcentral lists this ribosomal RNA (214 nucleotides) under uncultured bacterium. RNAcentral's name for it is "partial 16S ribosomal RNA". It matches the Rfam family "Bacterial small subunit ribosomal RNA", at positions 524 to 739 of the family's 1533-position model. The record is from RNAcentral.